GUUCAAGGCCCCAUCAUUAUCUUUCCCACCAGCUUGAGAGGUUUUUUCAAAACUAGCACAUGGAAGGAAAAUUAUAUCCAAAUAAUCACGGCUAAUGCACAGUUUGGUCGGAUAUGCAGGUUUAACUUGCGAAGUCCACUUUAGACAUGCAGGUCCGAUUUGUGCUUCUAGGAUUUUAUGUUUUUUUUGUCUAUCACGUGUGAUACAAGCGCAAGACAUGACCGAUCUAUAUCACACGCACAAAUCAUGAUUUUUUUCUUGAGCUGCAUGUGCCAACAAGGGAAAAAACUCGCAAUGGAUGCACAAAGAAUGGAGAGUGGAGAAGAAACGACAUAGCAUAGAUACGAGGGAGGGAGGGGGAGGGAGAGGGAUGCUUGCUUGUUCACUGGCUUGGUGAGUGGUGAGAGAUCUUGGAAGAGAAACCAAACCAAACCAAAUUGGUGUUCAUAGAAUGUUACCUGUGGUGGCUCCUCGUCGAGGAAGGAGGUUGGGUCGGAUUUGCAGACCAGCACUCAGUUUCAGGUUGUGGCUCUUGCUGCUUGCUCUGCUCCGCUUAUUCUCUUUUGCACCGUUUGGCCUCAAAUUCGUUAUACUUGUUGGUCAUGAUAAGCCCCUUUCUCUCCCCUUCCCUUGGUGAUAAUACUACCGUGACUGCAUAUUUUUUCCAUUUAAACCUUCCUUCCUUCCUGGGCUGGCUGGGUUUGUAGGUGGUAGCAUGGAAAGCGGCAUCUCAUCUUCACACCAACUUCAUUUCACGGGUAAUAUCGAAAGAUUUAACAAGGAAGUAGAGCAACAACAACUGCAACACUCUGGAUAUGGUGGCGAUGCAAUUAAAGCACCAGGAAGAAAGCACCGUUGGCAGCAUUUAGGAUGAGCAAACACUGUCCAAAUUGGCUUCAGACGGACAUGUUCUAGAUAAUAGUGGAUUAGUUGGUCUAUGGAAAAUAGUCAUUGCCAGGAACUUACCCUACAAGGACAUGCGGAGAACUGGCAAGGUGCCGAAUUUUUUAUCACACCGCAUCUUUCCUUCUUCUAGCUACUCGAUUUGGCUUGACAGGAAGAUGCGACUUAAUGCUGAUCCCAUGCUGAUAAUUGAUUACUUUUUGUGGCGAACAAGAUCAGAAUAUGCCAUUUCAAACCAUUAUGAUUGUCACUGUGUUUGGGAGGAGCUACUCCAAAAUAAGCACCUAAAUAAGUACAGUCAAACGGCCAUUGAUAAACAGUUUAAUUUUCACCAGCCUGAUGGCCUCAGCAAGUUUGAUCCUUCAGAUCUUAAUACUCCUCUACCAAGUUGUAUGUGUCUUGGUUUCUAUUCUGGUUUUCAAGAUUGAGUUUCCCUUUAUUAUACAGCCUCUUCAAUCCACUUUUGUUUUUUUUUUUUUCCUGAAAUUCAACCCAGCUGUUGGUUCUUAUACUUUGCGGAUGUGCUUGAAGGAUUGUGAAUGCCGAGCACUAGCAAAGCUGUUCUGGCAUCGGGUAUUCCCAUCACCCCCACCUGUUCCUUGAUAAAUUGAGAUUUUUUUUUUUCAAGUUAUGGCUUGCCUGGUAAGAUAAAAGAUAACCUAUCCAGCUCCCUCACCUCUUCUUUUCUUUCUCAGUGUUUCCAGUUGAUUGCUUUACUUGGAUUUCCUUAAAUGCCAAAAAAGGCAUAGAAGUUAUUUUCUAGUUUCCUUACUUGCAAUCAAGACACCCUUGUAAAGGAGCAUCUGAUACAGAUUUGGCUUGAGGACUAACUGCACACUGCUUUCACUUGCAGAAACCUUAGUACCAUCUUCAGAACUUGAUUAUCAAAUCAGUGGAUGGUUAUGCUCAAUUGUUGAUACAACUUUGAACUGAUAUUUUAUAAUAGGACUUUAAACGAUUAAGAAAUCCAUUCAAUAGUAGCAAAGAGAGAUUCCAGGGAUUUUUUAUAUUAAUUUUGAACCUGUUGUAUUGGUCUAGUGGUGGAUCCUGAUAUUUGAAUUGCAUGUAUAGUGACAGAACCUGUGCCACUUGCUGUAAUGUGAUUAAUUGAGUCCAGUUCAUAGUGUAAAUUAAUAGAUCAGACAACUGUAAACUUCUCACUUGAGUGUCAUUAGAUUUGAUGACAUAGUUGUUAGAUACAAUCACCUGAUUUUCCAAUCAAACUUAUCUAGUGGGUCUGGUUGUUGUCUUAGCAGUGCUUUUCUUCUUCCUUUUCUUGUUGGCUUGGGGAAAGAGAGGCUGCGUCUAACACCCUAACUCUCAUUCCUAAGAAUUUAUGUGCAAUUACUGUUCAGGCAUAAAUUUAAUUUUUGAUCAGGUGCAUCGGUCUUAUAAGCUUCUUUGAAAAUCCAAUCUUGUGAAUCUCCAGCUGAGAUAACUGAAAAAAUAUGGAUUACAGUUGUUAAAAACAUGGAUAGGUUUUUGGUCAUGCAAUCUUUUGAUUUAAUUGGUUAUUCAUUUGGUUUCUUAAGCACAAGAAAAAAUCGAUGCCAUCGUCAAGCUAUAGCUGGAAUUGUCUGACUGUAACAGGAUGAAAUCACAGGUCUGGGACUCUCCUAAUUGAAGUAUCAACGUUUUUAAAGUUGAAUUGGAAUUGAGUUUGCACUCAUCAGUAAUGGUGAUAUUUGAAAUCUCUUGUGACAAAACUAUUACAUACUAUUUUACAUGGAUUUUUUUGGCUGUUGUUUAAAUAAUGUGAACUUAAGAUGUCUGCUUUGUUGCUGCAAAAAAAGUCUUUUGUACAUAUCAACUUCUGAUUACUUGAUUAUUUGUUACAACUUAUCAAGGUGGAUGGUAGUGUAUGCAUUCCAUGUUUGCUUACAAUGUAUCAAGGUGGAUGACCAAGUGUAUGCUCCUCUGGGAAUGAAGCUUUGACAUAAAACUACUUGAUAGGUCCAUGAUAGUUGUUUACAGAAUCUGAAUAAGUUUUUGAUGGAUCUUUAUGGUUUGUGCAGGGACAUUCACUGAUGGGAAAAAAGAUAAAAAAAACAAAAAGGUUUCUGUGUGAUCGUCUCCAGCUGUUUCAAGAAUCUAAUAGAUGAUCAGCUGCCUUGUGAAUUAUGGCAGAUUUGUUAUGUUUUGCACAGUAGCUGAUGGCGACGACUUUGGAUGUCUGAUGUAUUUGGCUUGGUAAUCUUUGACAAAGAGGUGAUACUAAUCUCUCCUUACUAAAUGGUCUAAGGGGCUUUGCCAGUCAGUUCAGCUAAAGAAUUUGGUAAUUGGAUGAUGGUUAGUGAAAUUGGCAUGUGACAUUGCAUUGCAUUGCUGAAAUAAUUGUGGGUUUUGAGUUUCAACCACUACCAACUGAAGGGGGAAAGAGGGAGAGGGGCUGCUACAGUGGCAUCAGCCAAUGCUCUAGCGGUUUAACCAAAAUUGCAUUUAUUGAUGUCGGUAUUCUAAACUUACCCAGAGGGAAAUAGCAUUGCUUUUCCAAGAGUAUUUGUUAGGUUUUCCCCUUUGAAUAAUGGUGGCGAGGAAGCUGCUUAGUGCUAAACACGUCUUUUUUCUCUCUCGAUUUUUACCUUCGAUCUUUUCCUGUAGCGUAGUGGUUCUUCAACUGUUCAAGAGGGUGCUGAUCGAGAUUUUGUUUUGACAUUUUUCUUUAAAGUAUCACCAAGCUGUUCUCAGAACUGUGAUCAUCGUGCAGGCUCGUCUUGGAAGAUUGUUAUCUCUACUACUCACGGUCUGAUUUUUGCUCUCUUUUUUACAAAUAAGCAACACUUUCCUACUAGGUAACUUUUAUUUGAAAUUAUAAUUUCAAUUGCAACUGUAAAGCAAACUCGUAAGAAGUUCACUUGGGUCUGGUUGUUCUAUCAUCCCUCGUGUUUUUAUUUUUUGGUCAGACAAUGUGGAAAGCACCAUAUCAAACUUUUGUGCUCUGAUGCUUCUCAUGAAUUGCGCGAGUCCCUUGGUUAUUUUUAUUUGUUUUGUUGUGCGUGAUGAGGGCCGAAGACCCGUGCCGAGGAGGACAUCGAAAACGAGCCUGUUGCGUCUCCCUUGGUUUAUGGCGUUGAUUGCUGUCAGGUUCCCUGCUUCGAGGGGCGGCUUAUGAAUCUGACCCCUAAUUGGCUAUCCGCCAUCCUUUCCUCUUUUCUUGCACACAUUUUCCCCCGUAGAGUUGAAAAGUAUAUCAGGAGGCUAUAU
Molecule: long non-coding RNA, 4107 nt
Organism: Populus euphratica (Euphrates poplar)
Lineage: Eukaryota; Viridiplantae; Streptophyta; Magnoliopsida; Malpighiales; Salicaceae
Exons: 6
Source: RefSeq, a predicted model, not a curated record